This 372-nucleotide long non-coding RNA is filed under the name Lotus japonicus. RNAcentral describes it as "long non-coding RNA (LJAP_LNC000995)". Lineage: Eukaryota; Viridiplantae; Streptophyta; Magnoliopsida; Fabales; Fabaceae. The record is from RNAcentral.
UGGGGUAAUCCAUCUUGCAUCUUCUUCCAGGCUUGAGCCAAUAGUCGAGGAGGGAGGCUGGUCCAAUUCCAGGGGAGGCUAUUUUGAGAUCGCAAAUCUACAGCCACAUGAGCUGGUUAAUUUGCUGGAAGCUACAACUAGAGAAGGUAAGACUAAUCUUCCUUAUAUCUUGAACAAUAGCCAGAAUCUCACAUUGUGUCUUAUGGUUUCUGCAUGCAUCAAGGGGGAGGCAGUCAGAUUCUACCUGGACCUAAUCAUAGUCUAAGUUUUGAGCCAGAACAAUACCCUCUCUCAAGGCCAAAGGUUCAGCCAUAAGAGGGGAAUGAGCGAGGGCUCUGGAGGCACUACCAGCCACAAGGCAGCCCAUAGAGU